Molecule: long non-coding RNA, 1084 nt
Organism: Alligator mississippiensis (American alligator)
Lineage: Eukaryota; Metazoa; Chordata; Crocodylia; Alligatoridae
Exons: 3
Source: RefSeq, a predicted model, not a curated record
GGGAGGAGGUGAGAGAUUUGCCUGGCUGGAAAGCAGGGACUCUUGGGGCUGUGAAGGUACAUGGGAGCUCUCAUCUUGCAGACUGCCAGGAACUUCAGUGGCUUGGAAACUGAGAGCCUCAGAGGAGACACCAGCAGUAUUGAUGCAACUCAGCCUGUGACCCUUUGAUGCUAUGCUCACCUUCUCAGAAAAUAUGUGACAGUGUCAGUGAAAGAGGGAGAGGAGUCAUCUGUCCUGCACAGAACUCUGUAGGAAAAAAUUGCUGCUGUUGGGACCAAUUCCUGUCGUGGACUUUGAUGCCUUGGUGGAGACAAUGACACCACUUGUUCUGAUCAUUUGCCAAAGUUUCCCAUUGGUCAGGAUCAAUUCCAAAUGCCUUCAUAACUCACUUGCAUGCAUCUUUGUAGUGAAGCUUGGGAUGUCCUGUUGUUUUUCUUCCUUCUGAGAGUACCCGAUGCAGCAUGUCCUUGGGUAUACAUCCAUAUUCCAAUCUGCUUAGAUGGUCUAGAGAGUGCAGUUGUCUCUGUUUGAGUAAGGCUGUCACACUUGGUAAAUUUGCCCUUGGAAGAGACUCUGCAUUGGUAACUUUAUCUUGGCAUUUGAUGUUGAGUAUGUGGCAUAAACAGCACAGCUAGAACCUGGUUAACUUUUUCUCUUGAUGUACAUAAUUUGUCCAUGUUUCAGCACCAUACAUGAGAGUGCUGACUAACCAAGCUUUGUACACUAGCAUUUUGGUUUUGAUCGUAAGCUUUGAGUUAGGUUGCUGAAGGUGGUGGCAGCCUUUCUGAUGCAAACAUUAAGUUCUUCAUCCAGUGAGAGGUUGGUGGUCACUGUGAAACCUAGGUAGCUGAACUUGUGGACUACUUCUAGCUCUUACCAUCAGCAUAAAGAAAGGGAGUUCCACAAGAGCCAUCAAUCACUCUUAAUGUGACACUCAACUUUAUUAAAAAAUGUAUCUAGAAUAAGGCAUAAAGACAAUGUUGGGAAUGUUUUAGUGAAAAUACUUUCUUUAUAAAAUGCUGAUUUAUUAUGACAAACUGUUCUAAGGUCAGUUUGAUAAAUUUUUAUAUCUUGAAAAAAUAAA